GGUUUUAUGCAGUUUUACGGGACGAACGAUUCGUUAGCCGAGACGAGUGGACAAGUGGAUGGCAGAAAUCGUAAAAGCAGAUUUGUCAAGGCCACCGGGAAUUGGCGUCGCGCAGCCGUUUUAGCACGAUUCGUCGCUUGAUUGAUGACAAAAGCGAGCUCGUCCGGCAAACUUCUAACGGUCGGAUGAUAAAUGGCGACGUAUGCGCAUUUACAAAUGUCGUAUCUAAGUACGAUUUCGUUUCGUGAAAAUAUUUGCAGCGCCGUGUCGCCGUACGCUCGAUAUUUUAUGCGUUAAAAGUGGCUUAAUAUCGGAUACAAGCCUUCUAAAAAUAUGCAAACACAAAAGUGGACUAAAAAGUGCAUUAAAGUAAUAUCAGCUUUGAUAUCGCGACGUAAUCGGGAAAUUGCAUUUCGCGAAAGGAUUUAAAUAUUCUAUGCCGGAAAUUAUUAAUUCUCAAGCGUUUUCCAUGAUAAGCACGACUGCUUUCUGUCGCAGCAAAUAGGUGGCCGACGUUUAUUCGUAAUUUGCGGGAGGACAAGGUGAGAUCGUCAUCUACGACGGCACGAGCCGGAAAUAAGUGGUGGAGGCUGCGGGAAAUAAGGAGAGCUCCUCGGGAUAACAAACAGCGAAAAGUGGUGAGUUGUUCAAGAAGGAGGAAAGGGAGUAGAAGAGAGAGAAAAAGAGAGAGAGAGAGAGAGAGAGAGCGUUCUGGAAAGGGGGGCAAGGCGAGAGACAUUGCCGCAAUUCCCAUUCAAAUUAAUGCAAACGGUCCCCGCUACCGAGGCCAACAGGAGGUGGAGAGGAUUCCGCCUACAUUUUUUCCCCUCCGUGCCGCUGCAAUGAUGAACAUUUGCGUCACGCCAUUCUUCGAAACCGAGAGACGGAACGAGUCUGCUCGUCCCGUCUACGCAAAGUCGCCCCAAGAAAGAUCUCAUUUCUCACGAGAAUUUUGCAUAACGCGACCAGCGGAGGCAAAACGAAAUAAAUGUAUUACCGCACGUAGCGUCAACCAAAGAAAAUUUCCUUCUCCAAAUAAGAAAGACAUACUACUAUAAGAAUGUAUCGCCAUGUCUCACGGAUUGUUUUGCACUCGCGAACGAACAUUCAAUUAUUCGCGCAUCUCACCGGCGAUAUCUCUAACAUCAAUAACGGAGAGAUUAUGAAACGCGAAUUAAUUUAAUACAACCACGAGACUCUGUCAUAACUAAUAACGAUCGGACGAGUUAUAGAGAACGCGAGUGCAUGAUAUUUGCGUAUAACCACGAAUAAUUCAUAGGAGCUGGUUGGCAUUUUUCCAUCGUCCUGAUAUGACGCUUACUAAAAUAACUGGUUUACGCUCCAAACGCGUAAUGCCGUCCGAACGUGUGUGGUAACAUGAUAACUCGAUAACGUAAGAUAACAAUUAUUGGGGACGAGUCAUAUGCUUACAAAGGGCUAGUACAUACAAUAUCUACAUUUUUUACAUUUUUUAUUAUGAUUCCCUCCACAUACAUGCCGCAUGCAUGCAUUAAUUAAAAUACAUUAAUUACAUUACACUGUCGAUCACAUGUUUUUCUAUUUAUCUUGAUUAGUGGUGCACAGACGUUCCUGAUGCUUGUCAAACUGCAAAGGAUUAAUCUUUUACUACCAAAGGCUCGUAUUUGCCUCUCGACGAGCUGAGUUUGCUGGAUUACGAGCGGAAACCGCGCGGAGGUACACUUCGAAACUGUCUACGUUGAAAAUGAAGCCGAGCAGUAAGGCAGCAAUAGCGCGCUGAGACGAAAACUACAACAGGGAAACAGCGCAUUCAGAGCACAAAUACGAGGAUGAAAAACAGCAGAGGAUGAAGGAGAAUAAUUCGAAGGGAUAUCGCACUAAUGUAAUGACAAAGCGCCGAACAAAGGGGUGUCCUUCGGACUGUACAAAUACGUGAAUUAAAAAGGGAUAUUUAAUCGCGCUAAUUGUCAAACAAGACUUGCAUGGAUUCAUACGAGUAUCCUGAUCCUUUAAAGCACACGCUAAAUAUUAAUUACGAGAGUACGACGUUCAUAUUCGCUUCGAAUCAAUUAUACUCAUAAUAAAAUGUAUGAUGAUGAAAAAAGUUUCUGCACAUUUCGUGUACGAGCGUACGUUAAAAGUGCAUAAUAAAAAGUAUGUGCUUAAAUUAA
RNAcentral lists this long non-coding RNA (2150 nucleotides) under Ooceraea biroi (clonal raider ant). RNAcentral's name for it is "uncharacterized LOC105282582". The record is from RNAcentral. Lineage: Eukaryota; Metazoa; Arthropoda; Insecta; Hymenoptera; Formicidae.